Molecule: ribosomal RNA, 492 nt
Filed under: uncultured bacterium
Lineage: Bacteria
Description: partial 16S ribosomal RNA
Rfam family: Bacterial small subunit ribosomal RNA
Source: RNAcentral
AUUGAAUGCUGGCGGCAUGCUUUACACAUGCAAGUCGAACGGUAACAGGCCUUCGGGUGCUGACGAGUGGCGAACGGGUGAGUAAUGCAUCGGAACGUACCCAGAGGUGGGGGAUAACGCAGCGAAAGCUGUGCUAAUACUGCAUGUGAUCUGAGGAUGAAAGCGGGGGACCGAGCAGCAAUGUUUGGCCUCGCGCCUUUGGAGCGGCCGAUGUCGGAUUAGCUAGUUGGUGGGGUAAAGGCCUACCAAGGCGACGAUCCGUAGCUGGUCUGAGAGGACGACCAGCCACACUGGGACUGAGACACGGCCCAGACUCCUACGGGAGGCAGCAGUGGGGAAUUUUGGACAAUGGGCGCAAGCCUGAUCCAGCAAUGCCGCGUGCGGGAAGAAGGCCUUCGGGUUGUAAACCGCUUUUGGCAGGAACGAAACGGUGUCCGCUAAUACCGGGCGCUAAUGACGGUACCUGCAGAAUAAGCACCGGCUAACUACGUG